GUGGUUCUAACCUGCUCUUCUAAAGGAUCUCACCUUACCUUCACCUGGCUAAAUAAAACCAAGCCUAUUGUUAUUGAUGGCGACCGGAUAACCAAGGAAGAUUCUCAGGACGGAUUAUCCAGUAAGCUGACCAUCAGAGAUGUCCUCAGGAAUGACCUUAGCCAAAUCGUCUGCAGAUCAGCCAACACACUGGAAAAACAGGACAGCGCCCCUUUCAACCUCAACUAUGGGCCCGAAGAUGUCAUCAUAACUCCCUCUUCAACUGCGCAGUACAUGCCUUCCAACUAACAUGUUCAGCCUCCUUCAGCCCCGCGGCCACCUUUACCUGGUUUCACGACCAGAAGGAUAUAAAGGCAACUGGUCCAGUCGUCACUCUGAAAGUCACUGAGGAGAAGGGAUUUGGGAAGGAAAUGGCUGACCAAAAGUCUGUUGCUGAAAAUGCCAGGACCAAAUGUUUUGUCUCUUCUAGUGUUGUCAGAUUCUCUGUGGCUAAAUCAAAUCUCAAAGUUAUACAUAUCAAAUUGUAAAAAACUUCUUCCAAUAUUCAGUCAGUUUUCUCCAUCAUAAGUCCAAUACCAUGAUACAAACUAAUUAAGGUAACUUAUUAAAACCACUGACUGUGGAGAAACAUGGCUCUCUGACUCUGAACACAAUUCUUAUUCUGGAUUACAACAGAAUUUAAGACGGUACACAUUUUUUUCAAUAAUAUCAACGACACUGUCAAAUCAACAGCUUAGUUGAGUUGAGUUCUACUAGUUUAUUCAAGAGUAUUUCACUGAAAUAUGUUUGACUUGGAGCUGAAUAAUUUUGUUAAUAACUUUUUUUUUGAAUGGAAGUUGUAAUGAAUUUAUUCAAUAUAUGUGCAGUUAUCAGUUGACCAUGAUUUAAGCUCAAAUCCCACUUUCAUUUGUUGUUCUAAAAAAAAGCCAGUAGAUUGUGUGUAGAGUGACAAUAUGAAUAUUAUCUGUUAAUAACAUAUUUACCAUCCCCACUGGGUUGGGCAAUAAAUAUAUUAAAGUUGCACAACA
This is a long non-coding RNA of Cyprinodon tularosa, 1028 nucleotides long. RefSeq lists it as uncharacterized. The transcript has 3 exons. The record is from RefSeq and is a predicted model, not a curated record. NCBI's taxonomy places the organism in Eukaryota, Metazoa, Chordata, Actinopteri, Cyprinodontiformes, Cyprinodontidae.